Molecule: small nuclear RNA, 114 nt
Filed under: Salvator merianae (Argentine black and white tegu)
Lineage: Eukaryota; Metazoa; Chordata; Lepidosauria; Squamata; Teiidae
Description: U5 spliceosomal RNA (ENSSMRG00000022293.1)
Rfam family: U5 spliceosomal RNA
About the family: U5 RNA is a component of both types of known spliceosome. The precise function of this molecule is unknown, though it is known that the 5' loop is required for splice site selection and p220 binding, and that both the 3' stem-loop and the Sm site are important for Sm protein binding and cap methylation.
Source: Rfam by way of RNAcentral
AUAUUCUGGUUUCUCUUCAGAUUAUAUAAUUCUUUCACCUUUUACUAAAGAUUCCUGUGGAGAGGAACAUUUAUGAGUUUUUACCUAAUUUUUUGAAACUUUUUUAAAAAACAA